Molecule: long non-coding RNA, 1008 nt
Filed under: Capra hircus (goat)
Lineage: Eukaryota; Metazoa; Chordata; Mammalia; Artiodactyla; Bovidae
Description: lncRNA (ENSCHIG00010011772.1)
Source: RNAcentral
AAAAAAAAAAAAAGGGAGACUUCUAGAAAAGUUUUAUUUUUCCCAAGACAGGGAUAUAGGUCACUUUUUCACUUUGGAUGAUUAUAUCUAGAUGUGAUAACUGAGAUAUUAUAGUCAUUUGCCCUAAACCUAAUUAUGAAGAUAACAUUUAGGAUGGUAGAAUAGAGAUAUGGAAAUGGUCUCGGAUAACAAGAUUAAGUCACCAAAUACACCAAAUCUGAAGCCCUUCCUAACUCUGAGAUUCCCAUAGUAAGAUAUAAGUUUCCUUAUUGUUAAAGGCGGUUUGAUUCAGGGUUUCUAUUACUUGCAGCCCAAAUCAUACUGAUAUAUCAUUUUCCUUAUAAUUAAAUUCCCAUGUAGUCUGAGAUCUAAUUCUGGGCUCUAAACUGCUACAAUGAUCUAUUGUUUAUACUAGCACAUAAUUUCAUUUACAAAGACUUUGAAAUAAUGUUUUCUUAUUUGGAAGAGUAAGUUCCAUCCCCCACCACUAUUUUUUUCCACAGUGUGUUUUGACCAUUCUCAAAUGCUUAUUCUUUCAUAAUGAGCUUUCCUUAUAAGUUUCUUCUGAGAAUAGAAAAAAUAGAAGAUGGAAAAAAUUUGAUGUGCAUGCUGAACAUUGUAAGGGCCUUUAAGAACUAUCUAUAAACAAAACACAGUAAGAUAUUUUAAUUGAGCCACUUCUUUAUCAUAUUUUCCUUGACCAAUUAAUACUUCACAUUUUUGAUGGAAGAGAACAAUCAUUCCAUAAUCAGAACAGUAUGUGUUCCUUAGCUUGCAGAAGAACCACCCACUGAAAUAUGAGAAUUCUCCCACUUACAACAUCCCACUUAGACUGUAUAGCUCUGAGCGGUAAAUGCUGCAAAUCUAGAGAAAUAGUGAGUUACACAUUUCAUUUUUUUAAAACUCAAAAAGCCAAUAACUUUGGUGGUGAAUUCUUCUCUAAAUUUAUCAAUAAGAAUACUGACACUAUUUGAAGGAUUCUGUUUUAUAUUUUUAAACUCUGGUCUC